UCUCUCUCUCUCUCUCUCUCUCUGUAACUCCGAGUUACAGCUUCACAAGCUCAACGGAAGUGGAGGGAAAUGGGAACGGAGCCGGUGAAGAAGGCGUCACCCGCAUCCUCUUUUGCAGGCCCUACUUCCUGGCCUAUCACACCAAAGUCUACUUGAGCCAAUAACCAUUUAUCCAGGUUCAGACCCUAUGUGAUUCUGAUUCCCCUACGGUAUAUGAAAGAAAAUGCUUAAUGUUCCACUAACUUGGAUUGCAAGUGGUUGAUGGAGCUAGCUGGAUGUGUUUUGAGCGGAAAAAACGGAUUUGAUUGCAUCGACUUGAGGUCUCGAUGCCGGCCAAUUAUUUUCACAUCCAUUGGUAGAGCCAGAUUUCAACUACCUAUUGCACUGUAGUGAUAUCCCGUUUCUGCCUCUGAUCGUUGUAAGAUAGUAGAAUUGUAUACUUUGAGACACUGUAGUAAGCGAUGAAAUUUUUACUUGGCUAAAUAAAAAACCAAUCUGCUCUUGUCAGGGUCCUACUUAAACUUGCCGUAACGAUCCCAUUAUCGCCAGCACAUGCCUUUGGAUAAAUAACAGACUAGGAAUAGAAAGCAUGUUCAACUUUGCACAUUCGGUUUGGUCUUACGUUUAAAUGUAGAUAUAUUCGCGUUAAUCAGUGUGCUUGGGUUUAUGGCAGUGUAAGGACUUACUGUUUCAUAUGUUUCCAAAUUUUGUAUCUAGCUGCACCUUGAAGAUCAUUCGUUCAUCUGUUUUCCAUUUUCGUAGGUCGAUGAGGUGGCCCUUGAUGAUGUGCCCCAUGUUAUAGGAAACUACCAUAUUUGUGUGGUGAAGAACAAGCGCCUCGACUCAGAUACUAUAGCUUGAGUGAAACAGAUGAAGCUUAUAAUGCAAUAUGGUGUCGGUCUGGAAGGUGUUGAUAUUGACGCUGCCACCAAAAAUGGAAUAAAAGUUGCCAGAAUUUCAGGUGACAUCACGGGAAAUGCAGCAUCAUGUGCAGAGAUGGCUAUUUACCUGAUGCUGGGUUUACUCCGAAAGCAGGUAUGUUUGAUCGCUGGAAAAAUCUUGAGUAGCUGGCAUGUGAUUCAUUCUUACACGCAGAGUCCACAGGUCAGGUUUGUCGUAUGUCGUGCUUCUUUUUGUUCCUUCAUAGGGAAUGACAGGUUGAAUAGUUUAGCUGUAACAUUUUCUGGAAUGUGAAUAAAUCCCCUAUUGUUU
This is a long non-coding RNA of Syzygium oleosum, 1212 nucleotides long. RefSeq lists it as uncharacterized. The transcript has 2 exons. NCBI's taxonomy places the organism in Eukaryota, Viridiplantae, Streptophyta, Magnoliopsida, Myrtales, Myrtaceae. The record is from RefSeq and is a predicted model, not a curated record.